UCUCUGGUGGCCUAGAGGUUAAAGCGUCUGCCUGAAACACAGGAGACCUGGGUUCAAUCCCUGGGUCGGGAA
RNAcentral lists this transfer RNA (72 nucleotides) under Capra hircus (goat). It matches the Rfam family "tRNA". From Rfam's summary of the family: Transfer RNA (tRNA) molecules are approximately 80 nucleotides in length. Their secondary structure includes four short double-helical elements and three loops (D, anti-codon, and T loops). Lineage: Eukaryota; Metazoa; Chordata; Mammalia; Artiodactyla; Bovidae. The record is from Rfam by way of RNAcentral. RNAcentral also lists the same sequence under 1 other name.